GCAGACACAUUCCAGCCAAUCAGCAGCAGACUCUCCCUCCCAGACCCUUCCACCUCCUGGACAGCAUCCAUUUUACAUUCAUUGUGAAGCUGCAUUCUUAGUGAGCUGUCCAGGAGGUGGGAGGGUCUGGGAGGGAGGGUCUGCUGCUGAUUGGCUGGAAUGUGUCUG
This 168-nucleotide microRNA precursor is filed under the name Pelobates cultripes (western spadefoot toad). The record is from RNAcentral. Lineage: Eukaryota; Metazoa; Chordata; Amphibia; Anura; Pelobatidae.